This is a long non-coding RNA of Galeopterus variegatus (Sunda flying lemur), 670 nucleotides long. RefSeq lists it as uncharacterized. The transcript is spliced from 3 exons. Lineage: Eukaryota; Metazoa; Chordata; Mammalia; Dermoptera; Cynocephalidae. The record is from RefSeq and is a predicted model, not a curated record.
UUACUCAGAGUCUACUGAUUUAAAUUUCCACUGAUUUAAAUAAUGCCUUCCAGUAACACCUUGACUGGCAUUUAACCAAAAAAUACAGCCCUGCCAAGUGGACGGAUAAAGUUUACCAUCACACCCUGCUUUUAUGGGAAUACUUAUCCUGACUCUUUUCUCAGAAGAUAAUCCUUAUUUUGUGAGAACAGCCUGUGGUCACGCAGUCUUUCUACCAGCGACCAGGGCCCUUGUCUGGAAUGUGGGACGGUCACGUGCACAGUGAGCUGCCUCUGUAUUCCGUCCUUGGUGCAGCUGAGUUGAGCGUGCAGCAGCUAUGCUGGUCAUGGGACAGUAGUGAUGAGAGGGGGAGAUGGCCAGUCUGUUUAUUUCCAGCUUAGACUCCCGUACCAGUAAUACCUGCCUAUUAUUCAGGUGAUUUCAAGCAUCUUUACAUGAAUAUUUAUGUCUUCCUCUUCUUUUUCAUCCUCUAGGGGGACCCAGGUCAAAUACUGGGCCAUGUGCCUGGGACACUGUUGAAAGGCGAAAGAGGGUUUCCUGGAAUCCCAGGGAUGCCAGGCUCACCAGGAUUACCAGGGCUGCAAGGUCCCGUUGGCCCUCCAGGAUUUACUGGACCACCAGGUCCCCCAGGCCCUCCUGGCCCUCCAGGUGAAAAGGUAAAGUUUUUUUU